RNAcentral lists this ribosomal RNA (460 nucleotides) under uncultured bacterium. RNAcentral describes it as "partial 16S ribosomal RNA". It matches the Rfam family "Bacterial small subunit ribosomal RNA", at positions 338 to 795 of the family's 1533-position model. The record is from RNAcentral.
CCUACGGGUGGCAGCAGUGAGGAAUAUUGGUCAAUGGACGAGAGUCUGAACCAGCCAAGUAGCGUGAAGGAUGACUGCCCUAUGGGUUGUAAACUUCUUUUAUAAAGGAAUAAAACGAGGCACGUGUGCCUUUUUGCAUGUACUUUAUGAAUAAGGAUCGGCUAAUUCCGUGCCCGCAGCCGCGGUAAUACGGCGGAUCCGAGCGUUAUCCGGAUUUAGUGGGUUUAAAGGGAGCGUAGAUGGGUUGUAAAGUCAGUUGUGAAAGUUUGCGGCUUAACCGUAAAAUUGCAAUUGAUACUGGCAGGCUUGAGUACAGUUGAGGGAGGCGGAAUUCGUGGUGUAGCGGUGAAAUGCUUAGAUAUCACGAAGAACCCCGAUUGAGAAGGCAGCUUACUAAACUGUGACUGACAUUGAUGCUCGAAAGUGUGGGUAUCAAACAGGAUUAGAUACCCGAGUAGUC